Molecule: unclassified non-coding RNA, 244 nt
Filed under: uncultured fungus
Lineage: Eukaryota; Fungi
Description: sequence contains ITS1, 5.8S rRNA gene
Rfam family: 5.8S ribosomal RNA (bases 196-244)
Source: RNAcentral
UCUCCGUUGGUUAACCAGCGGAGGGAUCAUUACAGAGUUGUUAACUUCCAAACCCAUUUGAACUUACCAUUGUUGCCUCGGGUGAGCCUACCCUGUAGCUACCCUGUAGGGUGGUUACCCUGUAGCGCCCCGCCGGUGGAUUUUCAAACUCUUGUUAUUUUUAGUAAUCUGAGCGUCUUAUUUUAAAUAAGUCAAAACUUUCAACAACGGAUCUCUUGGUUCUGGCAUCGAUGAAGAACGCAGC